This 429-nucleotide long non-coding RNA is filed under the name Manihot esculenta (cassava). Its description in RNAcentral is "long non-coding RNA (MESC_LNC010190)". Lineage: Eukaryota; Viridiplantae; Streptophyta; Magnoliopsida; Malpighiales; Euphorbiaceae. The record is from RNAcentral.
AUGCCAUCAUGUAAUGCAACACAUCACAACAAAUCACAUCUCGGAUGGUACUGUCACCAAUAGUCCUCUACAUAAUCCAACUGUGCCGGGACGUAGAAUGGGUACAACCGGUCUUUCUCUUAACAUAACAUAUCAUACAGUCCAACUGUGCCAGGGACGUAGAAUGGGUACAACCUAGACUUUCUCUUACAUCGUGCCAGGGACGUAGAAUGGGUACAACCUGGACUUCCAUACCAUAUCAUGCUGUAACAUCAUCAUAACAUAUGAGGACUAAAGGAUCAUCCAAUAACCAAUCCACAACAACAUCAUAAAUGCAAUGCAACAUAUUCGUGAAUUCUAAUGCAAACAACCUAAUUCAUCACAUGGCAUUCAUGAUGCAUGAACAUGCUAAAAGCUUUAUAAUUUAUUUGCUUUAAAACGUAAAGGUUU